RNAcentral lists this ribosomal RNA (1171 nucleotides) under uncultured organism. Its description in RNAcentral is "bacterial SSU rRNA". It matches the Rfam family "Bacterial small subunit ribosomal RNA", at positions 205 to 1378 of the family's 1533-position model. The record is from RNAcentral.
AGCUAGCGCCUGAGGAUGAGCCUGCGUCUCAUUAGCUAGUUGGUAGGGUAAUGGCCUACCAAGGCGACGAUGGGUAGCCGGCCUGAGAGGGUGAGCGGCCACACUGGGACUGAGAUACGGGCCAGACUCCUACGGGAGGCAGCAGUGAGGAAUAUUGCGCAAUGGCCGAAAGGUUGACGCAGCGACGCCGCGUGAGGGAUGAAGCUUUUAGGAGUGUAAACCUCUGCUAGGAGGGAAGAAUAAUGGCAAUUCGAACAGGGUUGUCAGAUGACGGUACCUCCAGAGGAAGCCCCGGCUAACUCCGUGCCAGCAGCCGCGGCAAUACGGGGGGGGCUAGCGUUGUCCGGAAUUACUGGGCGUAAAGGGCGCGUAGGCGGGAUAGCAAGUCAGUGGUGCAAACUUGAGGCUUAACUUCAAGCUUGCCAUUGAUACUGUUAUUCUUGAGUUCGGCAGAGGGAAGUGGAAUUCCUGGUGUAGCGGUGAAAUGCGUAGAUAUCAGGAAGAACACCGGUGGCGAAGGCGGCUUCCUGGUCCGAUACUGACGCUGAGGCGCGAAAGCGUGGGGAGCGAACAGGAUUAGAUACCCUGGUAGUCCACGCUGUAAACGAUGGGUACUAGGUGUUGGUUGUAAUGAUCAGCGCCGGAGCAAACGCAUUAAGUACCCCGCCUGGGGAAUACGGUCGCAAGACUGAAACUCAAAGGAAUUGACGGGGGCCCGCACAAGCGGUGGAGCAUGUGGUUUAAUUCGAUGCAACGCGAAGAACCUUACCUGGGCUUGAACUGCAGGUGCUAUCUCCUGAAAGGGAGUUUCCUUCGGGACGCCUGUAGAGGUGCUGCAUGGCUGUCGUCAGCUCGUGCUGUGAGGUGUUGGGUUAAGUCCCGCAACGAGCGCAACCCCUGUCCCUAGUUGCCAUCAGGUCAAGCUGGGAACUCUAGGGGGACUGCCCCGGAUAACGGGGAGGAAGCCGGGGAUGACGUCAAGUCAUCAUGGCCCUUACGUCCAGGGCUACACACGUGCUACAAUGGCCGGUACAACGGGUAGCGAGACAGCGAUGUGGAGCAAAUCCCUUAAAACCGGUCUCAGUUCAGAUUGCAGUCUGCAACCCGACUGCAUGAAGUUGGAAUCGCUAGUAAUCGCGGAUCAGCAUGCCGCGGUGCCUACGUUCCCGGG